Brassica rapa (field mustard) is the source of this 6829-nucleotide long non-coding RNA. RefSeq lists it as uncharacterized. The record is from RefSeq and is a predicted model, not a curated record. Lineage: Eukaryota; Viridiplantae; Streptophyta; Magnoliopsida; Brassicales; Brassicaceae.
UUAGUAUUUAUUUUUUAUAAAAUUUUAAACCCUAAUUCCAAAACCUCACAUCUUAACUCUAAACCCUAAGGUUUGGAUUAAUUAACCCAAGGGGUAUAAGUGUAUAUUUACCUCUUUAAUGAAACCUAUUUUUGUGACUUUGAGCCUUGAAUGCUACUUUGAGAACAAAAACUUGGUUUGGUGCUAUCUUAGUCUUUUUCUCUUUAUUUAUAUAUAUAAUCAAGAUUCAUGGGUCAUAUACCUUUUGGGAUAAACGAAGAACUAUAAAUACUUUCAGUCACAAGUUAUUGGGUCUAAUCACGUACCAGUGCAAUACAAAAAUGCAAUAAUCUAAGUUAAUUACGUAAUAUCAAUCUAAAAUAAGAAAUGUGGCUUUCCAUUAUUAUCUAUCUCCAUAAGACAUGAUCAGAUCAUGCAUGCUACUUGAAUUUGAAACUGAGAUCCUGUCUCUAAUUAAUUAUUUUGCAUUGGAUGUAAAAUAGUCGUUAAUAAUGAUGAGUUCGUCAGUGAUAUCUAUAUAUAUAAAGUAGAAGGUGUAUUAGAAAACAAAAUAUAUGUAACAUUUUGAUCCAAUAUACAUGUCUCCAUAUAUCAUUUAAUUCAUUUCAAUUAUUAUUGACUAUAUUUAUUCGUUGAACUGAGAAUAUUACCUACAAGUACAACUUACAAAACAUAUAUAACAAAAAACAAAUCCUCUAUAUACUAAAGCACAAGUCACUUCACCAAUUAAAUUCUGACACAUGGAAUAUGUUUAAAAAAAAUAAUAAUGUCAAUUCAAAAAUUAAUUUGCGAUUCCAAUUUUUCUCAACAUCCGAUAACUAAGUCCCUAUAAAAAAAUCAGAGUAUCAACACCAGUUACACCACGUUCAGAAAAACCAUCAACACCACGUUCAAGAGUAAUGAUCAUGAUUCAAAACUGUUGUAUCUUCCAUAUUUCAUCAAUUAAUUUUAGUUUUUGUUUGAUCUCUUCUCUCUUACGUUUUCUCAUUCUUCUUCUCCAUAGCUUCAUUUUUUAAAGGCAAAAAUCAAAAUUACAGACUAAAAAGGACGAAGAAAACACAUAUACAGACACAGAAAGAGGGAUGCUUGAGAUGAAAAACCAGCCAAGGUAAAAGACAACUUAGACAAGAUAGCAAGAUAAUUUUAUAUUCAUCGCUUCGUAUUCUUCGUUUUUUUGAAUGAGAUUUUUGACUCAUGCAAAAUAAAAUCCAUACAGGUUUAUGAUUACUCUUAAUUUAGAUUCAAUUUCCUUCUAUUCUCAAUCAAUAAUCUAUUAAAUUUUUGUUUUUGCAUAUUCUAGAUAAGAAAUAGCCUUUUGAGUUUUUCAUAACUUAUUUCUUCAAUAAAAGAAUAGAAAAUCAAAGCUUUGUCAUUAACGAAGAUAACAAAAUAUUAUUUUAAAACAAAAGUGGAGAUAACUAAAUAUUAAAACUAAAGUUAUUUGAUCCAUAUAGUGUAUUGAGAAAAGAGACGGAAGAAUACAAAGUUAUGAUUUGGUGGAAAUUUUUGGCAAAUGAAAGUUAGAAAUCAAGGUUAGUUAAACUAUUUUUUGUUGACGAAAAAAACUAUUUUUUUAAGGUUAGUGAAACUAAAAAGAGCCAAAUUCUUCAAUGCUCAAAUUAUAAUUCAUGAUGUUAAAUUUCUUUUUUAAAAUAAUUUUCUCUUCUAAUAAACAUAAUUUAAGUUUCUGCAUAAACAUGGCACUGAAUUUUUUCUGUAGAAUACCUUAUAUAGGCUGUAGUAUUCUACAUAUAAAGUCAUCUUUAUGCUACUUUUCUGCUUCUACUUAAACAUUUAAACAUGGCAUUGAAUUCGUCGCUGAUCAGUAUGUUGCUUGACUUGCUGUCUAUGUGAACUACUUUUGGCUCAAUUGCUUCAUGCAGAUAAGCAAGACUACACAGACGCACAGGAUGAUUAGUAUGCAGGGCCGAGCACAGCCCAGUAAGGUUACGGAUGUGUAAAGAUAAUUUUCUCUUCCCAAAUUACGUUUACUCACUAUGGUCUACAUAUAAAGUCAUCUUUAGAAAUUGGAAAACUCAUAUGGUCAAAAAAGAAAACUGUAAUAAACUUUAAAAAAUAUAUGUCAAUAACAUACUCACUAUGGACUAAAUCAAUUUCUUUUUUUUUGAAAAGAAAUCAAUUUCUUUUUUGAACUAAAUCAAUUUCAAUCUGCUGAAAAUUGUUUAUUACUUGGUGUGAUAAUUCAAAGAAAGAAAGUAAUAUUAACCUCUUUUUCAUUAUAAAUUUUAUAAAUACAUUAUAUAUAUAUGUAUAUAUAUUUAAAAUAUAUUCACAUAAAAUAACGUCCGUGCUAAGCACGGGAGAUAAUACUAGUUAAGAAUAUAAAUCGUAAGUAUUGAUAAAAAAAACUAUUAUGUUGUAACUUGUAACCAAUGAUAAAAAAAAAUGUUUAGCCGUUUCGGCAACCAUCUUUCAUCUUUGUCAAUUUCUUCAAUAGAGAAACGAAAUCAAAGUCGUGAUUCACCAAAAUCUUUCUCACGGGGAUUCGAAGAUGACGACGGAUAAAUAGACAUCAUACACUAAACCGCAAAUCGUAGGAUAAAGAAAAUCGUUUGAUCGUGACAGACCAACGAAAAGUUGCAACCCGGUUUAGUUUUUGGUGUUUUCUUUUAUUGGACUUUCUUAUGUGAGCCAAUUAAAGGCCCAUUAUAGUUCAAACUCUAAAAACUAUCCGUUAAGAAACGCGUGCUCUGCAAAGAAGCAUAAAUACAUAACAGAUACAAAAGCUUAUCGACGGAUCUGAGUUAUCAAAAGGGGUUUUGAUUCUCCCACUUCUUCUAUUUUAGUUGAAUCGUCCAUCUCUACUCUUCGAUGAUCAGUAAGUCUUUUAUUUCUCUACAUCAAUUCGUAAAUUUGUUUUACAAUUUCUAAGUUUGCGUAAUCGCGAUUUUUUUAGGGUUCAUAUUUGAUUUUGGUUGUGAUCUUGUUUCAAUUUCUAUAGAUUGAUUUGUGAAUUCGUCUCAAGAUAUCUGAGUUUUGUAAUUGUUUUGUGUUCGAUUAAUUUUCAAUUAGGCUGCUAAUUUCGAUUUUUAUAGGGUUGUGAGUUUCUUAACCGUUCAUAUCUUGAUUUUGGUGUUGGUCUUAUCUUUAGGGUUUAUGCUUCGAAUUUGUUUUGAAGCUCAACUUCGCUUGGAAGCAUCAUCACGGUUGGCUGGAAGUUUCUCUUGUCACCGAGGUAAACUCUCCAUCUACGCUUGGUUUUAUGUUUUUUUUUCAGACCCAAAAGAUCGUUUAGCAGACAUUAAUCUCAUAGUGUUCCGUAAUAUUCUUAUUAGGUUGGUAGUGCGCAUAAGGAAAUGAAUGUUAUGAGAUGGAAAAAAUGACACACGGCUUAAAAGUUAAAAAAAUGUCUUUACAUAAAGACUAAGAAUCAGUUUUCCACUGCACACGGCUUAAGACAAAGACUUUAUUUUGCUACCCACGGCUUAGAACAACUAGAUGGAAAAAAUGUACCCACGGCUUUGAGCAUGUCUUUAGACAGAGACUAUAUUGCUUUUUGGAUGAUGGAAAUGUACCCACGGCUUUAAGCAUGUCUUUAGACAGAGACUAUGUUGCUUGUUGGAUGAAGGAAAGUAAGUACCCAUGGCUUUGAGCAGGUCUUUAGACAGAGACUGUUGGUUAUUGAAUGAAGGAAAGUACCCAAGGCUUUCAGCAGUCUUUAGACAGAGACUAUGUUGGUUAUUGAAUGAAGAAAUGUAUACCCACGGCUUUAAGCUUGUCUUUAGACAGAGACUAUGUUGCUUGUUGGAUGAAGAAAUGUAUACCCACGGCUUAAAGAUUGUCUUUAGACAGAGACUAUAUGGCUUGUUGGAUGAAGAAAAGUACCCACAGCUAUGAGCAUGUCUUUUAGACAGAGACUAUGUUGCUUGUUGGAUGAAGAAAAGUACCCACGGCUUUGAGCAGGUCUUUUAGACAGAGACUACGUUGCUUCUUGGAUGAAGAAAAGUAAAGAACCCACGGCUUUGGGCAGAUCUUUAGACAGAGACUAUGUUGCUUGUUGGAUGAAGAAAAGUAAAGUACACACGGCUUUGGGCAGGUCUUUAGACAGAGACAUGUUGCUUGUUGGAUGAGGAAAUGUACACAUGGCUUUGCGAAGAUGAAAAAAAAAACUAUUACGGCAUAGAGCAUUCUUGUGACAAAGACAAGAUGGCUCGAUUUUGAAUCGUUGGAUGGAAUAACGACCAACAUAUACAAAAAGUCUUUAAGACAAGGACUAUGAAAUUGAAAACUGACUCGUUUUAAUAAUACCCACGGCUUUGAUCAGGUCUUUAGACAAACCUUAUAGGUCGAUUUUGACUUGUUGGGUGGAAAAACUAAACCACACCACAGCUUUGAGCUGUCUUUUAGACAGAGACUAGUGGCUCAACUUUUAAGAUGAUGGCUAGAAUAAGUACACACCACACACCUUUGAGAGAUGAGUCAUUUUUUUGACUUGUUAGAUGAACAAAAAAGUACCCACAGCUUUGAGCAGUCAUAACACAAAGACAAGAUGGCUCUCAACUAUGACUUGUUGGCUGGAAUAACGACCAACAAAUUCAAAAACGUGGAAACAGAAUCCUUCACCAUAAUGAGGCUUAGACAAGUCUGUAGACAAAAACUGUAGAUCUGUUUUGACUUGUUGGAUGGGUAAAAACGAACAAUAGUCUAAAAAGAUCUUGUAACAAAGACUGAACUGAAAAUGGGUUAGUUUUGAAUGUGUUGGAUGGAAUGAUACGACCAACAGAUUAAAAAACUCUCAAAACAUAGACUAUAAAUUGAGAACACUAUCUUCGCUUGACCGCAAGGCUUACUAUAUGGAUUCGGUUUCACUUCGUUGGAUGGUAAGAAACGACCAACUGCUUUAAAAGGUUAUGACUUAAAAGACUGUAAAAUAAAAAGUUGGUUUUUUACUCUACUACAAGGCUUAAAAUAAAAGUCUCAAGACCAAGACUAUUAAUUGGUUUCUGCCUUGUUGGAUGGAUAAAACGACCAACAGGCUACAAAAGGAUACUUUACCCACCACAGCUUCAACGUCUUUAUACAAAGACUGUGUAUCGGUUUUGAUUUGUUGGAUGGAAGAUACGACCAACAAUUUCAAAAGACUAUGAAUCAAAGACUGAUUCUUAACUUUACCUACCACGGCUUUAAUAGGUAAGCAUGAGUGAAGCAAAGACUAACUAGUUCUUAUUUUUUCAGGUAUGUGCUAAUACAUUAAGAAGAUUUCAAUUGUAGCAGACUUUUGUGACAGGUAAGUACUUUUGAAGCUUGUUGUAAUUUAGUUGAUACAAUCAUGAGAUCACAAGUAGAAGAAAUAUAUAUAUAGUUAAGUAAAGACGAAUUCUGAUUUUCACAGGACAUUAUGUUUAAAUAAGGUUCCAAAUUCUUAUUUUGACAGCUUGAAGUAAAUACUAACUUUGAUUUUUUUCAGGUAUGUGGUUCAAAAGGUGUUCAUACAUUCUCUCAUGGUCGCACAUUAGAUUUCUAAGUUUAGCCAAACUGUGCGACCAGGUGUAUGCUUUUCUACACUUUCCUUUGAUAACUUGAUAUUAGUACAUAUGAAAAGUAAAAAACUAGAAAUACAUAUCUAAACAGAUUUAUAGUUAGGUACACACAUGUUUCUUAGAUAAUUUAUUGGACAACAUUACUAUCUUUGAUUUAGUAUCUAUCAGAUUACAAAAACUUAUUGUUAACAUAUCAAUUGUUAAAAAGUCAAAUUUAUUUACGGUAUUUUGAAUACCACAUUGUGUGUUUAUAGCGUUAGUAGUAUAUAUAUUUUCUCGGUUUUGAUGCUUGUGUGAUCAUAAGGUCUUUCAUAUCCUGAGUUGAUCUUUAUUAUAUUAUUCUUGAUCUAGUACCGUGACAGUAAUAUCUCUUCGAUUAGAACAAAAUAUUUUCUGGUUUGAUACUUUAUUUUGAAUGUAACUAAGACUCUUGUAGACUAUGGUAUACUUUAAUAGUUUCCUUGAAUCUUGAAUGUUUUUUUAUGUGUUAUGCUAUGAAUCCUUGGUGAGCAUUCUAAAGAUACGAAAUGACACCCUCACAAUCUUACAGUUAGUUAAUUGUUAGUCUUAGGAAUUAGGAUUAAGGCAUUCUGCAUCAUUACUUUAUACGUUGAUGAUUAUUGACUCCCUUGGUCUCACAGGCUUACAGAUUUUAUGGAACUUGGAAAUAUUGAAUCACUAGUGUUUUUAUUAGUCAAACGAGUUAAUGAGUUCUAUUGUGACGUAGGAACUAUUGGACUUUUUAAGUUUGAGAAACCCAAAAAUCUCAUUUUGCCUAUGAAAGAACAUCGACAUCUGCUUUCCGGCAAAGCCUUUGCCCAUCGCACACCAUCUGUUUUGUAACCUUCUUUUCUCAAGUUUUACAUUUUCUUCAUAUUAAUUAAUGACCCAACAUAGCCUUAACCUAGCCUGUGUUUUCAUCCUUUCUUCCCUAUCAAUAGCUUUCCGUCCCAGGUUUCUUAAAGCUCAAGUAAACUCGUUAACCUUAAGCAAAUCAAAGCAUCUUCGAGUUAAAGGAAGAGAUCUGGUUUACAAAGUCAAUGACCUUCCUUAGUUUCUCUACACUAAUUUCUUUGGGACUAGUUUAAAGAGAUUUUUUCAAAGCCAAAUAGAUUUUGCGUUUAUCUUGAGACUUCUUUCACUGAUCACAAACAUCACAUGAGAAAAGAGGAAACAAAAAGCGAGAAAGUUUUUGUUCACUUCUUUGAAGAAACCGUCGAUGAUGAUGAUGAUUCCGGCUCUUUCCAAGCCGCUUGCCAUUGUUUGUCAUAUAGCGUCGUCUCUUCGAUCAGACCCUUGAGUUUCUCCAAAUCUUCGUUCUUGCGGAU